Rhipicephalus sanguineus (brown dog tick) is the source of this 207-nucleotide long non-coding RNA. RefSeq lists it as uncharacterized. The record is from RefSeq and is a predicted model, not a curated record. The transcript has 3 exons. NCBI's taxonomy places the organism in Eukaryota, Metazoa, Arthropoda, Arachnida, Ixodida, Ixodidae.
UACAGCAAUCUAUGUUUGCGCUGAGGAAAAGACUUCGAUAAUUCCCUGUGAGACGCAACCGUGCCCGUCUGGCUACAAGUGCCUGCGCAUUCGCUGUUUCACACAUCCUUGCCCUCAGAGCCACUGUGUGAAAGAGAAUUCAACGGGCAUAAAUUUGCAAAGCAAAGGAGGCAAAUGAAUUGAGGAAUAAAUAAAAACCAAACGUUU